RNAcentral lists this transfer RNA (76 nucleotides) under Deltaproteobacteria bacterium. Its description in RNAcentral is "tRNA-Lys". It matches the Rfam family "tRNA". From Rfam's summary of the family: Transfer RNA (tRNA) molecules are approximately 80 nucleotides in length. Lineage: Bacteria; Pseudomonadati; Myxococcota; Myxococcia. The record is from RNAcentral.
GGGCCGUUAGCUCAAUUGGCAGAGCAACUGACUCUUAAUCAGUAGGUCAUAGGUUCGACUCCUAUACGGCCCACCA